GGCGUUUCGGCCGCGCAAGGGCAGCCGCCGCACGUAGGCAGCGUCCCCCAGCCCGGGACCCGCAGGAAUGCGAGGGGCAAGACAGAUCGCCGGAGGAGCAGGGGUCAGAAGUCAGUGUUUAACCACUCACUGGCUUUCGGUGAAGCCAGAAUGUUAGCAGCGAGUCGCGGUCGGGGGCCUUGGGGUUGCACACGCUUGCUCCAAGCACCGAGGCUCAGCUGAGCACAUGCACAACCCUCUCGAUGCAGCGGAAAGUCGUGUGGCUUAGGGCCGCACCCCGAAUUUCGCCGCACCCGCCGCUGUGCCAUUUACAACCCCCCACCCCGCCACUGCUGUCACGUAGCAAUCAAGAGUAAAGGUUAUCACAAAGUCUGUUCUUCGAAGGAAAGAGUUGGAAUCAAGGACUUCGGACGGGAGGAAGUUGUUUGGGGCUGAGAGCCAAUGAAGUUUCCUUUCGUCUAAGCUACUUUGGUUGACUUUCUGCCAUCACAAUACAGUCUUCGUGCACCCAGUAUUUCAGACUGCACUCAACUGCUAAGAUUCAAACUUCAACAAAAUGCAGAAUUUUAGUUGUUUACCUUUUUAGUUACAUGGACUCAAAAACAAGCAUCACCAUAACUUUCCACUGUGUGUGACAAUAUAAGAGUCAUAUCUUUGUGGCUCCAAAAAUGUUUAAAAAAGCAACUAGUAUAUUCAAUAUUUAGCUCAUAAGAGCUAAGCACUGUAAAAUACGUCUGACAUCUUCAACAUCAAACUAGAAUAAAGGUAAAAUUAAAAUAGGGUAGAAGAGUGUUCAUGCAUGAUCCAAUCUCACAUGAAACCCUAGUCCUAAAAAAAAGGCAACUCCCAAAUAGGUGUCUUGAUUUCACCCAGUGGCUUUAAAAUAGUUCUUAAUCAUGUAUGCAUUAAGAAGCCAAAACUCAUUGUUAUUUCUGAAGCACAUUAUUUUGAAAUUCUGUUUAAAUCUUCCAUAUUUGUAUGAUGAAAGUUAUGUCACAAAGUUAAUCAUUCCCAGGAUGCUUGCAGUAGGGGUAAUGAAAAACUUCUUGUGCAAGCGGCCAUUAAUCAGCAGUGUAACAUUGCAUAACGUGCUCCAAAGCACGUGUCAUGGGAUCAGAGUACACAGCUGCAUAAUGCAGGCCAGUGUCUGUGCCUCCUGCUGACCUUUUCCAAUGCAGAACUCGAACCAUGUGAUGCAUGCUUCUUGCCAAGUCACUUAUUGCCAAUGAUUAAGUUGGAUGAUAUGGAGAAACAUAAAUUUCUUUCUUUCUUUUUUUUUUUUGGAGUUCUAAAAGGAAGACUCUUUGAAGUCCCUGGCUUCUGGCACAGUGUUGUUGCUGGCUUGGUUAUAUUACUCUUGAUCAUUAUAAAAACUCUCCAUUAAAACUGAUAUCAAAUAUUUUGCUCAAGUGGUUCCUGGCAUUUGCAUUAGAAACAAUAGACAUACCCCCACAAGAAGAGUAUUUUAUAUGUAAGCAACGCAAAAAGUCAAAGACGCUAGAAGCCAAAGACAUACAUAUAUCAAAUCCCAAUCCAUCACGUUUGAUGUUCUUGAGCAAUACUGUUAGCGAGAAACUAUUACUUAAUCUUGCUAGUAUUAUCCAAAGAGAACACUUGCGAAAUACUUAAGACAAACAUGCUGUAAUUAUUACAUGAAUAAAGAGCUUGUGUAGCAUAAACUGUUUUUGUAACAUCAACACAAAUUCUGUUGGAGCAGGCUAAUAAUUAGCCGUGGUAACAACAAUGGCCACUGUGUUUGAGAAGCUCUGAGAGGUAACAGUGCUGCCGGAGGUGAGAUGACUCACGCGUUAUCUUCUACCCUCAAAGUAGCCUUGGUGUAGAGGGACUGUUUUCAAUAAUAUCUUAACCUAGAAAGUCUUCUGAAAUUUCACCAAGGGCUAAUUAUACAUUCUAGUACCAACUAGAAUAUAUCUGGUUCCCUAACAUAUAUUGGAAAUUAAAUUUCAUCUUCAUUUUACUUUUUUUUUUUAAGGAAAGGACUCUUCGAUUUGAUUACUAGCAAACUCUUACUGUACAUGAAAUCCUGUUCAAGGUCUGAAAGCUCAAAUUAAUAAAUGAUUUUGUCAUCAUAAUCUAAAUGUCUAACAGUGGAACAUGAAUUUAACAGUGUGGAAGAAAAGUUGUCCUAAAACAUAAGACAUCUAUAUGUGCUGGGAUUUCAAUACUUUUUAUUUUUACUACUUGAAUGCUGCAUUUAUGCAUUGCUUUGCUUUGGUUUAUGGCUGUUAGUUUAGCAACUAAGGGCUGAAUGAACAGAUCCCUCACAGAUCAUCCAACCUCAUGACCAGGCAAGGGGAGCCUCAGCUGGAGCAGCCUAUUUCUGUUUCCUGGGUCUAGACUCAGAGCAGACAUUUAAAAGACAAUACAGCAGUAAAUCCUCUCCUACCUUGACUACAACUAAACCUGACAUUUGGGAAGUGAGGUAUAGUCAAUAGUUUGGGCUGUAAUAAUAAUUCAAUAAAUAUCAGUUUUGAUGUACCAGAAGUCAGAAAGCUACCUUGUACACCUUGCCAGUAACAGCCCAUGGUAUACCUGGUUGCAUUAGAAUCAGCUGGGGAGGGGGAAGGGAUGUCAGUGGGAAUAGUGCAGUGAGAACCUCCAGAAAAUCUGCUCCUCCAUAUAAACAAUGAGAACAUCGCCAAAGAUUGUAAAAAAAAAAUUGUCAAAACUUUUUCAGAACCCCAGAAAUUAGCCAAAAGCUUGCAACAACCUGAGAAGCAUUCAUUCACGAAAAGUGGCUGAAUCUCAGUAAGAACAAGCUUUGUGGCAUUUUAUUUGUUUUGUUAUUGUUGUUGUUUUUUGAGGUGGAGUUUCAUUUUUGUUGCCCAGGCUGGAGUGCAAUGGCAUGAUCUCGGCUCACUGCAACCUCCGCCUCCUGGGUUCAAGCAAUUCUCCUGUCUCAGCCUCCUGAGUAGCUGUGAUUACAGGCGCCCACCACUACACCCAGCUAAUUUCUGGUAUUUUUAGUAGAAAUGGGGUUUCACCAUGUUGGCCAGGCUGGUCUCAAACUCCUGACCUCAGGUGAUCCGCCUGCCUCGGCAUCCCAAAGUACUGGGAUUAUAGGCCUAAGCCACCACACCGAGCCACUUUGUGGAAUUUUAACUUGCCCUAUUCCACUCCCUCUUCCCAGAGCCACACACACCUUGAAAACUAAUAGUCUCACACUUACGGCAGCCAUGAAAACCAGCAGCCACCAUAGGAGAAUGAAUGUCUUUGUGGCAUCCCCAAAGCCCUAUUCCCAGAAACUUGUCAUUAUCUGAUAUGUCCAGC
RNAcentral lists this long non-coding RNA (3291 nucleotides) under Homo sapiens (human). RNAcentral describes it as "non-protein coding LINC00484:29". Lineage: Eukaryota; Metazoa; Chordata; Mammalia; Primates; Hominidae. The record is from RNAcentral.